CCUACGGGUGGCUGCAGUAGGGAAUCUUCCACAAUGGACGAAAGCCUGAUGGAGCAACGCCGCGUGAGUGAAGAAGGGUUUCGGCCUGUAAAGCUCUGUUGGUAGUGAAGAAAGACAGAGGUAGUAACUGGCCUCUAUUUGACGGUAAUUACUUAGAAAGUCACGGCUAACUACGUGCCAGCAGCCGCGGUAAUACGUAGGUGGCAAGCGUUGUCCGGAUUUAUUGGGCGUAAAGCGGGUGCAGGCGGUUCAAUAAGUCUGAUGUGAAAGCAUUCGGCUCAACCGGAGGAAUGCAUCAGAAACUGUUGAGCUUGAGUGCAGAAGAGGAUAGUGGAACUCCAUGUGUAGCGGUGGAAUGCGUAGAUAUAUGGAAGAACACCAGUGGCGAAGGCGGCUCUCUGGUCUGCAACUGACGCUGAGGCUCGAAAGCAUGGGUAGCGAACAGGAUUAGAUACCCGAGUAGUC
RNAcentral lists this ribosomal RNA (465 nucleotides) under uncultured bacterium. RNAcentral describes it as "partial 16S ribosomal RNA". It matches the Rfam family "Bacterial small subunit ribosomal RNA", at positions 338 to 795 of the family's 1533-position model. The record is from RNAcentral.